Molecule: long non-coding RNA, 938 nt
Organism: Mytilus californianus (California mussel)
Lineage: Eukaryota; Metazoa; Mollusca; Bivalvia; Mytilida; Mytilidae
Exons: 2
Source: RefSeq, a predicted model, not a curated record
CUUCCACGUGUUUAAAGAUUGAUCCAUUUCUAUUAAGGAAUUUUUGAAGACAAUUAAUUUUGUCAAAAUAUUUUUUUUGAUUCUUUAAUUUGUCGACCAAGACGAUAAUUUUACUAGUAUUUCAAAUGGCAUUGUUAUCGACUGUCUUAGUGUUAACAAUAUUAAGCACUGCAGUGACCAGUGAGGAAAAGGUUCAAAUGUCAGAAAUUAGAAAUGGUUUUGUGGAAAUUGAUACCAAUGGUGACGGAAAGGCAACUUUACAAGAAAUUGUGAAACAUAUUGAAACCAAGAAACAGGAACCUGAAGCAGACCACGAAUCAAUGGCGGAGUCUAUUUUCAACUAUUAUGAUAAGAAUAAAGACGGAGUUGUUACACUGCAAGAAUUUCUACCACAUGAUGAAUUAUAAUUUCAAAAGUUUGAAGUUUUUGUUCAUCUGAACACUAACAUUUGAAUAAUUAUAGACAUUUGAUUAUGUAGGCGACAGUUAUACAUUAAUUGUAAAAUACUGGACAAUACAUGAGGGUGUGGAUGGGGGUUUGCAGAAUAGAGAAUAAUUGUCAAAAAGUAUAACGAAUAGAGAAAAAUGUACAAAAAAAAUAAAGAACAGAGAAUAAGGAUGUGCUAAAAUAUAAAGAAUAGAGACUAAUGGGCAAAAAGUAUAAAGAAUAGAGAAAAAUGGACCGAAAUAUUAAAGAAUUCAGAAAAGAAGUACCCCGCCAUCCAGACCCUCAUACAUAUGGUGAUUAUGUAUAGUUACUCAAUAUCUUAUACAUUAUAUAAAAUACGAGCUAUAGAUAGCAGAAAACACCUCAAAAAUUUAUUCUCGUCUGUCUUUUAAAAUGUUAUUUGCUGUUGCUACCUGUAGUUGCACUUUUUAUUUGAUAGAUGUUAUGAGAGUAUCAUCAUCAUUGCUAUUUAAAAAAAAUAUAUCCCAGUG